UCCUGUGUAAAACAGGACUUUUACACUGACUUGUAAUCAGUAGUUCCCGGGUUCGACUCCUGGUGCCGGCACCA
This 74-nucleotide transfer RNA is filed under the name Pseudomonas aeruginosa. RNAcentral describes it as "tRNA-Thr". The record is from RNAcentral. Lineage: Bacteria; Pseudomonadati; Pseudomonadota; Gammaproteobacteria; Pseudomonadales; Pseudomonadaceae.